UACAGAGGGGGCAAGCGUUAUUCGGAAUUAUUGGGCGUAAAGGGCGCGUAGGCGGCUUGGCAAGUGGAAGGUGAAAUCCCUCGGCUUAACCGAGGAACUGCCCUCCAAACUGCUUCGCUUGAGACCGGGAGAGGUGAGUGGAAUUCCCAGUGUAGCGGUGAAAUGCGUAGAUAUUGGGAGGAACACCAGUGGCGAAGGCGGCCCACUGGACCGGUACUGACGCUGAUGCGCGAAAGCGUGGGGAGCAAACGGG
RNAcentral lists this ribosomal RNA (253 nucleotides) under uncultured bacterium. RNAcentral's name for it is "partial 16S ribosomal RNA". It matches the Rfam family "Bacterial small subunit ribosomal RNA", at positions 524 to 776 of the family's 1533-position model. The record is from RNAcentral.